RNAcentral lists this ribosomal RNA (2928 nucleotides) under Salmonella enterica subsp. enterica serovar Enteritidis. RNAcentral's name for it is "bacterial LSU rRNA". It matches the Rfam family "Bacterial large subunit ribosomal RNA". The record is from RNAcentral. Lineage: Bacteria; Pseudomonadati; Pseudomonadota; Gammaproteobacteria; Enterobacterales; Enterobacteriaceae.
GGGUUGUGAGGUUAAGCGACUAAGCGUACACGGUGGAUGCCCUGGCAGUCAGAGGCGAUGAAGGGCGUACUAAUCUGCGAUAAGCGCCGGUAAGGUGAUAUGAACCGUUAUAACCGGCGAUACCCGAAUGGGGAAACCCAGUGUGAUUCGUCACACUAUCAUUAACUGAAUCCAUAGGUUAAUGAGGCGAACCGGGGGAACUGAAACAUCUAAGUACCCCGAGGAAAAGAAAUCAACCGAGAUUCCCCCAGUAGCGGCGAGCGAACGGGGAGGAGCCCAGAGCCUGAAUCAGCAUGUGUGUUAGUGGAAGCGUCUGGAAAGGCGCGCGAUACAGGGUGACAGCCCCGUACACAAAAGCGCAUGUGCUGUGAGCUCGAUGAGUAGGGCGGGACACGUGGUAUCCUGUCUGAAUAUGGGGGGACCAUCCUCCAAGGCUAAAUACUCCUGACUGACCGAUAGUGAACCAGUACCGUGAGGGAAAGGCGAAAAGAACCCCGGCGAGGGGAGUGAAAAAGAACCUGAAACCGUGUACGUACAAGCAGUGGGAGCACAGGUUUACCUGUGUGACUGCGUACCUUUUGUAUAAUGGGUCAGCGACUUAUAUUCUGUAGCAAGGUUAACCGAAUAGGGGAGCCGGAGGGAAACCGAGUCUUAAUUGGGCGUUAAGUUGCAGGGUAUAGACCCGAAACCCGGUGAUCUAGCCAUGGGCAGGUUGAAGGUUGGGUAACACUAACUGGAGGACCGAACCGACUAAUGUUGAAAAAUUAGCGGAUGACCUGUGGCUGGGGGUGAAAGGCCAAUCAAACCGGGAGAUAGCUGGUUCUCCCCGAAAGCUAUUUAGGUAGCGCCUCGUGAAUUCAUCUCCGGGGGUAGAGCACUGUUUCGGCUAGGGGGCCAUCCCGGCUUACCAACCCGAUGCAAACUGCGAAUACCGGAGAAUGUUAUCACGGGAGACACACGGCGGGUGCUAACGUCCGUCGUGAAGAGGGAAACAACCCAGACCGCCAGCUAAGGUCCCAAAGUCAUGGUUAAGUGGGAAACGAUGUGGGAAGGCCCAGACAGCCAGGAUGUUGGCUUAGAAGCAGCCAUCAUUUAAAGAAAGCGUAAUAGCUCACUGGUCGAGUCGGCCUGCGCGGAAGAUGUAACGGGGCUAAACCAUGCACCGAAGCUGCGGCAGCGACACUGUGUGUUGUUGGGUAGGGGAGCGUUCUGUAAGCCUGCGAAGGUGGCCUGUGAGGGUUGCUGGAGGUAUCAGAAGUGCGAAUGCUGACAUAAGUAACGAUAAAGCGGGUGAAAAGCCCGCUCGCCGGAAGACCAAGGGUUCCUGUCCAACGUUAAUCGGGGCAGGGUGAGUCGACCCCUAAGGCGAGGCCGAAAGGCGUAGUCGAUGGGAAACGGGUUAAUAUUCCCGUACUUGGUGUUACUGCGAAGGGGGGACGGAGAAGGCUAUGUUGGCCGGGCGACGGUUGUCCCGGUUUAAGCGUGUAGGUGUGUGUUCCAGGUAAAUCCGGUUCACUUUAACACUGAGGCGUGACGACGAGGCACUACGGUGCUGAAGCAACAAAUGCCCUGCUUCCAGGAAAAGCCUCUAAGCAUCAGGUAACAUCAAAUCGUACCCCAAACCGACACAGGUGGUCAGGUAGAGAAUACCAAGGCGCUUGAGAGAACUCGGGUGAAGGAACUAGGCAAAAUGGUGCCGUAACUUCGGGAGAAGGCACGCUGACACGUAGGUGAAGUGAUUUACUCAUGGAGCUGAAGUCAGUCGAAGAUACCAGCUGGCUGCAACUGUUUAUUAAAAACACAGCACUGUGCAAACACGAAAGUGGACGUAUACGGUGUGACGCCUGCCCGGUGCCGGAAGGUUAAUUGAUGGGGUCAGCGCAAGCGAAGCUCCUGAUCGAAGCCCCGGUAAACGGCGGCCGUAACUAUAACGGUCCUAAGGUAGCGAAAUUCCUUGUCGGGUAAGUUCCGACCUGCACGAAUGGCGUAAUGAUGGCCAGGCUGUCUCCACCCGAGACUCAGUGAAAUUGAACUCGCUGUGAAGAUGCAGUGUACCCGCGGCAAGACGGAAAGACCCCGUGAACCUUUACUAUAGCUUGACACUGAACAUUGAGCCUUGAUGUGUAGGAUAGGUGGGAGGCUUUGAAGUGUGGACGCCAGUCUGCAUGGAGCCGACCUUGAAAUACCACCCUUUAAUGUUUGAUGUUCUAACGUGGACCCGUUACCCGGGUUGCGGACAGUGUCUGGUGGGUAGUUUGACUGGGGCGGUCUCCUCCUAAAGAGUAACGGAGGAGCACGAAGGUUGGCUAAUCCUGGUCGGACAUCAGGAGGUUAGUGCAAUGGCAUAAGCCAGCUUGACUGCGAGCGUGACGGCGCGAGCAGGUGCGAAAGCAGGUCAUAGUGAUCCGGUGGUUCUGAAUGGAAGGGCCAUCGCUCAACGGAUAAAAGGUACUCCGGGGAUAACAGGCUGAUACCGCCCAAGAGUUCAUAUCGACGGCGGUGUUUGGCACCUCGAUGUCGGCUCAUCACAUCCUGGGGCUGAAGUAGGUCCCAAGGGUAUGGCUGUUCGCCAUUUAAAGUGGUACGCGAGCUGGGUUUAGAACGUCGUGAGACAGUUCGGUCCCUAUCUGCCGUGGGCGCUGGAGAACUGAGGGGGGCUGCUCCUAGUACGAGAGGACCGGAGUGGACGCAUCACUGGUGUUCGGGUUGUCAUGCCAAUGGCACUGCCCGGUAGCUAAAUGCGGAAGAGAUAAGUGCUGAAAGCAUCUAAGCACGAAACUUGCCCCGAGAUGAGUUCUCCCUGAGACUUAGAGUCUCCUGAAGGAACGUUGAAGACGACGACGUUGAUAGGCCGGGUGUGUAAGCGCAGCGAUGCGUUGAGCUAACCGGUACUAAUGAACCGUGAGGCUUAACCUUACAACGCCGAAG